CCUACGGGAGGCAGCAGUGGGGAAUAUUGCGCAAUGGGGGAAACCCUGACGCAGCGACGCCGCGUGAGCGAAGAAGGCCUUAGGGUCGUAAAGCUCUGUUUUAAGGGACGAAGUCUUAAGGGGGUAAGAUACCCUUAAGGUGACGGUACCUUAAGAGAAAGCCCCGGCUAACUACGUGCCAGCAGCCGCGGUAAGACGUAGGGGGCGAGCGUUGUCCGGAAUUACUGGGCGUAAAGAGCACGUAGGCGGAUAAUUAAGUCAGGUGUGAAAGACCGCAGCCUAACUGCGGGGUUGCACUUGAGACUGGUUAUCUUGAGGGCAGGAGAGGUCAGUAGAAUUCCUGGUGUAGCGGUGAAAUGCGUAGAAAUCAGGAGGAAUACCAGUGGCGAAGGCGGCUGACUGGACUGACCCUGACGCUGAGGUGCGAAAGCGUGGGUAGCAAACAGGAUUAGAUACCCGUGUAGUC
This 466-nucleotide ribosomal RNA is filed under the name uncultured bacterium. Its description in RNAcentral is "bacterial SSU rRNA". It matches the Rfam family "Bacterial small subunit ribosomal RNA", at positions 338 to 795 of the family's 1533-position model. The record is from RNAcentral.